This 500-nucleotide ribosomal RNA is filed under the name Colwellia sp. KAT2. Its description in RNAcentral is "bacterial SSU rRNA". It matches the Rfam family "Bacterial small subunit ribosomal RNA", at positions 10 to 509 of the family's 1533-position model. The record is from RNAcentral. Lineage: Bacteria; Pseudomonadati; Pseudomonadota; Gammaproteobacteria; Alteromonadales; Colwelliaceae.
AGUUUGAUCAUGGCUCAGGAUGAACGCUAGCGGCAGGCUUAACACAUGCAAGUCGAGGGGUAACAGGGAGCUUGCUCUGCUGACGACCGGCGCACGGGUGCGUAACGCGUAUACAAUCUGCCUUACACUAAGGGAUAGCCCAGAGAAAUUUGGAUUAAUACCUUAUAGUUUAUUAGAAUGGCAUCAUUUUAAUAAUAAAGAUUACGGUGUAAGAUGAGUAUGCGUCCCAUUAGUUUGUUGGUAAGGUAACGGCUUACCAAGACUACGAUGGGUAGGGGCCCUGAGAGGGGGAUCCCCCACACUGGUACUGAGACACGGACCAGACUCCUACGGGAGGCAGCAGUGAGGAAUAUUGGACAAUGGGCGAGAGCCUGAUCCAGCCAUGCCGCGUGCAGGAAGACGGUCCUAUGGAUUGUAAACUGCUUUUAUACAGGAAGAAUAAGGACUACGUGUAGUCUGGUGACGGUACUGUAAGAAUAAGGACCGGCUAACUCCGUGCC